RNAcentral lists this ribosomal RNA (736 nucleotides) under uncultured bacterium. RNAcentral's name for it is "bacterial SSU rRNA". It matches the Rfam family "Bacterial small subunit ribosomal RNA", at positions 28 to 754 of the family's 1533-position model. The record is from RNAcentral.
GAUGAACGCUAGCGACAGGCUUAACACAUGCAAGUCGAGGGGCAGCAUGGGAGGUGGCGACACCACCCGAUGGCGACCGGCGCACGGGUGCGUAACACGUAUCCAAUCUACCCAUGGCUCAGGGAUAGCCUUUCGAAAGAAAGAUUAAUACCUGAUGGUUUCGUUUUUUCGCAUGAGAAGAUGAAUAAAGAUUUAUCGGCGAUGGAUGAGGAUGCGUCCGAUUAGAUAGUAGGCGGGGUAACGGCCCACCUAGUCGACGAUCGGUAGGGGCUCUGAGAGGAGGAUCCCCCACAUUGGAACUGAGACACGGUCCAAACUCCUACGGGAGGCAGCAGUGAGGAAUAUUGGUCAAUGGGCGAGAGCCUGAACCAGCCAAGUAGCGUGAGGGAUGACUGCCCUAUGGGUUGUAAACCUCUUUUGUUUGGGAAUAAAGUGAGCCACGUGUGGCUUUUUGUAUGUACCUUACGAAUAAGCAUCGGCUAAUUCCGUGCCAGCAGCCGCGGUAAUACGGAAGAUGCGAGCGUUAUCCGGAUUUAUUGGGUUUAAAGGGAGCGUAGGCGGGCCUUUAAGCCAGCGGUCAAAUGUCAGGGCCCAACCUUGGCAUGCCGUUGGAACUGGGGGUCUUGAAUACACACAAGGAAGGUGGAAUUCGUCGUGUAGCGGUGAAAUGCUUAGAUAUGACGAAGAACUCCGAUUGCGAAGGCAGCCUUCUGGGGUGCGAUUGACGCUGAGGCCC